Non-coding RNA from Lonchura striata (white-rumped munia), 1677 nucleotides. Lineage: Eukaryota; Metazoa; Chordata; Aves; Passeriformes; Estrildidae. The record is from RefSeq and is a predicted model, not a curated record.
GCAGCCGCCCCGAUGCCCGAAGGUGCCGGGUGCCGCUCGCCCGGGGGGACGCACCGAACACACCGGUGGCGGCUCCGCUGGUUCCUCACAGGGAAAAAGCCCCCAGCCCCUGGGCAGGUCUGUCCGCGGCUCCACGGCCACAAGGUUAUAAAUGUUGGCAAAAUUUCAGCUCAUUCAAAAUCAGCAGCAAAGCUCUGUUUUCAGUGGGACAAGGGGCUGACUGACAGAAUCGCAAAAGGAUGUGAUUGAAAAGGAAGCUGGGAAGGCAGAAGCAGAUUGUACUUCCUGCAUUGAAAAACAUGGAUAGAUUCAUCCUGUACACAACUGACAGGAUAGGGGCUGGGGAAACAGCUGAUUUUGAGUUUAUCUGGAAUUAACAGAAUUGUCUUUAGAGGCAAAGGCCCAGAACAUGUUCUGGCAAAGGAAAAGGGAGAGAAAAAGACUUAAAUCCUCAGAGUAUGUGGAUACAUUUGUUUAGAAGAUGAACAUGAGAAGUCUGAGAAACAGACAUGGCACUACUUCAUGGGAAAAUAAGAGUCAACUUAACUGCUAUGAUGGACCAAAGAAGAGCAUUCUGUAUCAACUAAUUUGGUAGAGGAGAAUCAGCAUCUUGGUCUUAAAUAAGAGCUUGAUGCAGGAAGAAUUUAGAAAUAUUUGGUAGAGCCACAUGUGACUGAUCAAAAUAUUCACCCUAAGCACACAAAACAAGACUGUUAAGAUUUGCCAGAUAUGGGACUCACCUGCAGCAGAAUGUGGCUUAACAGAACUUGGGAGACCCUUCCAAUGGAAGAUGUUUUGUUCACAAAGCACAAUCACUUUGGAGACCUUUAUGCAAUUUCUGCAAUAAAUGAAAAUGGGAUUGCCCUUGUUGCUGUCACUGCAGGCUCAUGAUCUGGACCCCAGGACUCGAGCAGGACUGAAGGACAUAUGGGAUGCGGAUUUGCCUCUCACCGAGGUGCUGCUGGCUGGUUCACUGCCUGCUGGAGGGUGUCUCUAAGACCUGAUUUAACCUGAAGCAUGCACUUCCUCAGGAGGUCUGCAGCAGGGCUGGAGGACUGCAAACACUGCAUCACUUCCCUCCUGUCACCUGCUGCCACAUGACUGCUGCGCCUGUGCUGUGCUCUCAGCUGCCUCACUCUGAAAUUUUCCUCAUGAUGGUUUGUAUGGAGCUGCCAUGGCGCAGGCUUUGCUUUUGGUGGCAGUAUCCCUUGCCAUGUCAUUCAUAAAGAAGAUGGCUUUAUCCUUGCCUUUAUUCCACUGGGACCAUCUGCUCUACCCACAGGUGCCAAAAGUGGCAAAUCUUCUUUUUUAAUUUUCAGUUGAAGCUCUACAUCACAUGAACUUCUUGGGGUUUUUUGAGAGGUAAAGACUUUUUUUUUUUUUUUACAACACCAAAUAAAGCAACACCAAAUAACAACCCAAACACCACAGCCCAAGGAACCCAUAACUGACAGGGAAAAAAACCUGAAACCCACACAUUGAACCCAAGCUGGAGAAAUAACUGCAUUGUGUGACUGAUACAGUCCAUGGGAGUACAAAGCAUUCCAGUCUGAUUUUGCACAUCUGCUCCCUAUACCUAUUAAUAUCUUUUAGGCAUGGGCAUGGACAUGAAGAUGGGCAAGAGUAGUUUGCCGUGCAAACAUUUUUCUGGGAGCUGUACUAUUUUCUAGAGCUAAA